Molecule: ribosomal RNA, 992 nt
Filed under: Micrococcus sp. R87
Lineage: Bacteria; Bacillati; Actinomycetota; Actinomycetes; Micrococcales; Micrococcaceae
Description: bacterial SSU rRNA
Rfam family: Bacterial small subunit ribosomal RNA
Source: RNAcentral
CAUGCAAGUCGAACGAUGAAGCCCAGCUUGCUGGGUGGAUUAGUGGCGAACGGGUGAGUAACACGUGAGUAACCUGCCCUUAACUCUGGGAUAAGCCUGGGAAACUAGGUCUAAUACCGGAUAGGAGCGCCUACCGCAUGGUGGGUGUUGGAAAGAUUUAUCGGUUUUGGAUGGACUCGCGGCCUAUCAGCUUGUUGGUGAGGUAAUGGCUCACCAAGGCGACGACGGGUAGCCGGCCUGAGAGGGUGACCGGCCACACUGGGACUGAGACACGGCCCAGACUCCUACGGGAGGCAGCAGUGGGGAAUAUUGCACAAUGGGCGAAAGCCUGAUGCAGCGACGCCGCGUGAGGGAUGACGGCCUUCGGGUUGUAAACCUCUUUCAGUAGGGAAGAAGCGAAAGUGACGGUACCUGCAGAAGAAGCACCGGCUAACUACGUGCCAGCAGCCGCGGUAAUACGUAGGGUGCGAGCGUUAUCCGGAAUUAUUGGGCGUAAAGAGCUCGUAGGCGGUUUGUCGCGUCUGUCGUGAAAGUCCGGGGCUUAACCCCGGAUCUGCGGUGGGUACGGGCAGACUAGAGUGCAGUAGGGGAGACUGGAAUUCCUGGUGUAGCGGUGGAAUGCGCAGAUAUCAGGAGGAACACCGAUGGCGAAGGCAGGUCUCUGGGCUGUAACUGACGCUGAGGAGCGAAAGCAUGGGGAGCGAACAGGAUUAGAUACCCUGGUAGUCCAUGCCGGUAACGUUGGGCACUAGGUGUGGGGACCAAUUCCACGGUUCCGCGCCGCAGCUAACGCAUUAAGUGCCCCGCCUGGGGAGUACGGCCGCCAGGCUUAAAACUCAAGGAAUUGACGGGGGCCCCGCACAGCGGCGGAGCAUGCGGAUUAAUUCGAUGCACCGCGAAAACCUUACCAAGGCUUGACAUGUUCUCGAUCGCCGUAGAGAUACGGUUCCCCUUUGGGGCGGGUCACAGGGGGGCAUGGUGUCGCCACUCGU